This 122-nucleotide ribosomal RNA is filed under the name Triticum dicoccoides. The record is from RNAcentral. Lineage: Eukaryota; Viridiplantae; Streptophyta; Magnoliopsida; Poales; Poaceae.
GGAUGCGAUCAUACCAGCACUAAAGCACCGGAUCCCAUCAGAACUCCGAAUUUAAGCGUGCUUGGGGCGAGCAGUAGUACUAGGAUAGGUGACCUCCUGGGAAGUCCUCGUGUUGCAUUCCC